RNAcentral lists this ribosomal RNA (468 nucleotides) under uncultured bacterium. RNAcentral's name for it is "partial 16S ribosomal RNA". It matches the Rfam family "Bacterial small subunit ribosomal RNA", at positions 28 to 507 of the family's 1533-position model. The record is from RNAcentral.
GACGAACGCUGGCGGCGUGCUUAACACAUGCCAGUCGAACGGAAAGGCCCUGCUUUUGUGGGGUGCUCGAGUGGCGAACGGGUGAGUAACACGUGAGUAACCUGCCCUUGACUUUGGGAUAACUUCAGGAAACUGGGGCUAAUACCGGAUAGGAGCUCCUGCUGCAUGGUGUGGGUUGGAAAGUUUCGGCUGUUGGGGAUGGUCUCGCGGCUUAUCAGCUUGUUGGUGGGGUAGUGGCUUACCAAGGCUUUGACGGGUAGCCGGCCUGAGAGGGUGACCGGCCACAUUGGGACUGAGAUACGGCCCAGACUCCUACGGGAGGCAGCAGUGGGGAAUAUUGCACAAUGGGCGGAAGCCUGAUGCAGCAACGCCGCGUGCGGGAUGACGGCCUUCGGGUUGUAAACCGAUUUCGCCUGUGACGAAGCGUGAGUGACGGUAAUGGGUAAAGAAGCACCGGCUAACUACGUG